This 72-nucleotide transfer RNA is filed under the name Urocitellus parryii (Arctic ground squirrel). RNAcentral describes it as "Spermophilus parryii (Arctic ground squirrel) tRNA". It matches the Rfam family "tRNA". Rfam says of the family: Transfer RNA (tRNA) molecules are approximately 80 nucleotides in length. Their secondary structure includes four short double-helical elements and three loops (D, anti-codon, and T loops). Lineage: Eukaryota; Metazoa; Chordata; Mammalia; Rodentia; Sciuridae. RNAcentral also lists the same sequence under 1 other name. The record is from Rfam by way of RNAcentral.
GGAGAUAUUGCUCAAUGGUAGAGCACUUGCCUACUAUGUGUGAGGCUCUGAGUUCAAUUCCCAGUAUAGCAA